GGCCCUGAAAGGAAAGGGGAGGAGUCAGUCUCCAACACCUAGGGGUGCCCAGCUACGGUUUUCAUUGCAGGUCCUUCAGAGAAAUGGAGGGCAGCUUGCUCGUCAGGAGGAGGUGCACAGGAGCUGGCCUCUCAGGAAGGCCCUGCAGAAGCCAGUCCAUGACAGUCCCUCCGAUUCCCAUCUCCCAGCAGCGGGUGCCCGUUAGACUGGCACACAAUGGCUUAUCACCCUUGAGCACAGCAGAGUUCCUCUUGCUCCGCUCAUGCUUUUCCAGUGUGCGUGGGCUCCUGGCAGUGCCUUCUUCCUUUUUAAGUACACAGCUCCAUCUUCGGAGUGACUGAAGGUGGUCUCAAGGUGUAACUGGGACUAGUACUUGGUCCCUGGGGUCUCUAAGAGGUAAGGAACUGUGGGUCCAGAUGACCAGGACUUUGGGUCAAGGAACCACUGAGGGCUGGCCUUCACCUUGCACCUAGUCAGCACUGUGCACGAGGAAAACACCUGGGGGUGCUUCUAGUGUAGUAGACAGCCAACAAAUCACAGCGGUGGACGCAGACUCGUGCUGCACGGCAAGCCCUAUAAAGUAGGUGUACAGGAAGACUGCCCUAUAGAGCUGGAACCAGACAGGAGAGGAGGUGUCAAGAGAGGUGCGGGAAGCAGUGGAGCCAGGAGAACGGGACGUGUGGAAGGAAGAGAAAGGAGAAGCUAGUGUUCCAGUGGCAGUGGGAAGGGAAGACGCAGGGUAGGCUGCACUUCAGAGCUGUGUCCCAGGGUGAUGGGACACGAUGUUAGGACCAGGCUUGCUCAAGACAGCUUAGGGUCCGGGCAGGGAGAGGAAGUGCUGCAGCAGGUGAGAGGGUGGUACACUCCCUGGGCAGGGUGUUUGCAAAGUAGGUAAGGCUGUUGCCAUGAGCAACACAGACCUUGAGAAUGCACUGAACCAGGGUUCUAUGUGAGUCAGGGCCACGUGGGGCAGUGUGGACGGCAGCUGGAGGGGGAGAGCCUCACCUACCUGUGGCGGAGAUUCUUCUCUCCAGAGACUCCUGGCGGUGCUGCUGCUCCAUUACUUGUCUGAAAGGAAACCACAGCAGACACCUUGAGCUCUCUGUGUUCUAGCUCCCAUGUUUGAAAGCUGAUUCUGUGCUACUGCUGAGAGCCACAACACUGGGCUCUGUGUGUGGAGGAAAAGGAGUACCCUGAAGUGCUGUCAUAGGCACCAUCCACUCUUUUCUUUUUUCUUUCCUUUCCUUUUCUUUUCUUUUCUUUCCUUUUCUUGAAAUGGUCUCUCAUUGAUCUGCCAACGAACACCAGGCUUUGCCUGUUUGCCUCUGCCUCCUAAAGUCUGGUAUUCAAGUGAGUGGUGCCAUAUCUAACUUUUUCUUUAAGAAAAAAAAAAAGAAAGAGAGAGAGAGAGAGUGCUGACGCUCUAACCUAGGUCCUUGCAAGCACGUCUGUCACCGGCUCAUCUGCCACUGCACACCCCUGGGCUGCCUCCUACAGAGGGGGAACAGAUGGGAGAGACCUGGCGAGCGGGCACACCCGAGCAGGAAGCAUCGCAGAGAGACGUGCCUCACGCAGUGGACGGAGUCGGCUAAUAGGCUUCUCUGGCUGUUUGGAGCCACUGUGGUGGCUUCAAUCGAUGUGGCCUCAGGAGACACUGCAGACAUGCCUCAUUCUAGCCCCCGUCUGAGGGCCGUCUGGCACUACGGGGUUGGUCGGCACAUUUCAGACGGGGCUUAGGGAAGUGCGGGUCUGCUGGCCAUGGACCUGUCUCCGUGGUCUGCAAUGGCAUGUGCAGGUGUCCUCUGUUGCCCCUGAUGUCAGUGGAUACUUGAACGUGCUGGCCUCAGCUCUGUGUGUCUAGGCUAGCUGAAGGGUGCUUCUGGCUCUACUGGAAAGCUUUCAGGCAGGCAUCUGUGGGGUACGGGGUUACCUUCUCUGGAUGUCCAUCUCCUCAGGAGAGGGGCCAUUCUGCACCUGACGCUGUGUGGAGGGGCCUGUACAGAAGAGACGCAGAGUGGAAAGGUCAGGAGUGGGAGGGAAGAUCCCAAUAGAGAACUGUCAUGGCACUCUCCACUCCUCCUGACAUCAGAGGACACGCCCCUGGCCUGCUCUCGCCCCUGUGCAACACCUACAUAUCCUGAUCUCUAUUCACCCUUUCCCUCAUCGUUUCCUGUGGCUCCUCCCUCUGAAGCAUAGUGCAAUCCAAAUUCGUUGAUGCUCUCUACUUUUCCUUAGACAGCACUGGCCACUCUCCUCAACCCCACGACCAGCGUGUCAGAAUCCUGAGCUCUGACGGGCUCUUGGAGAGAAGAACUAAUGCCUACAGCUGGUGGAUAUCAAGGCCGGAUGAACCUAGGAACUGCACACGUGUGGGGUGGGCCCUCCUUGACCUGCUGCUGACACUGGGAGUCUAGAGCUGUGGGUAAAGCCUGUGAAAUCCUGUACGGCUCCCUCUGUUCUGGGCCCCGUGAAACCUCCUAGGCCAUAUCCACCCUGGGUGGAGUCCACUGCUGAGCCUCCUGUUCAUAGGGGGCCGGUGCUGGAACCCACGUCAGCAUGCUCUGUGCCACACUUAAAGAGAAAUGCAGGCUGCAGCACCAACCUGAGAAAGAGCUGACUGUUCCCCGAGGGCCAGUGCGCAUGGUCCCUUCAAGUGUACAGUCGGUGGCUUGUGUGGUUUUGUUUCCACCUUGGGGUGAAGUGAGUCUACACCUUCAGACAGCAGGCAGUCCCUUUAGCCCUACUUCCCAGAAGCCCAGGGUCUUAGUGGCCUUCCUCUUCUUGUGUGCAGAAAAUGUUAUUUCCUAUGGGAAUCUGAUCAGAGCAAUUCCCAGACAACUUUUACUUCAUCUACGUUUCAAUUGUAAUUCUCACACAGCUAGGAGUGUCCAUGAGGACUUGGGACCACUAAAGAAGCCAGGCCCAGGAAGUUAGGUGGCUUGCUCAAAGGUUGUGCAAGCAGAGCGAGGCAGAGCACUGCCAAAUGUCAUUCUCAAGUUCAGUCUCGGCAUGAUGUCAGACUGGCUGGAAGAAUGAGAUGGUGACUCACGCCACCUGAAGCCACUCACAAGCUGCCCUGUCCCUGGAUGGAGCAUCCAGGUGCGGACCUGUGUCUGCGCAGUAGAAAGGAAUUGCUUGACCUCUCCUCACUAAUUCUGGAGAAGGCAGGUUUCACAAUGCCUCAGCCCUCCAUUCUGGGACUCUGCUGCUAGCCUGGCCAAGGCUGUGGGGGUUUAAAUGAGAAAUGUCGUCCGUGCUCUGGCUAUCUGAACACCCAGUCACCAGUCAGAGGUGCUGGUUGGAGGUUUAGGAGGUGUGACCUUGUGGGAGGGAGUAUGUCAUGGGGGUGGGCUUUGGGAGGUCACAGCCUUGUGCUGCUUCCAGUUUGCGCACUGCUCCUGCCGCCACUUCUCCCCACUAUGAUGGACAGACUCUAUGCCUUUGGACUGUGAGCUUAUGGUGUUUCCUUACAGCAGCACACAGGUAACUAUAUCAUAGGCCUUAGGUUCAAGCUUGAACAACUGAACUCACCCCUGGUCUAGACUGUCUUUCCUCCUUCAGGAGCCGGAGUGCCUAUUCUGGCAACCUUGUGUUGCUCCUUGUCUAAGGCGUGGCCCCAUCCUAUGACUAAGACCCUGGAUGCCUGGCCCACACUGGCUUGGCCACCGCAAAGGCUGCUCAGCCACUGGCCUGGCUUGGUUACUAUGGUUGUUUCUUCUCCUGUUAAGACAGACUCUGAUGGUAGCUAUGCUCACAGUGUUCCGGUGUUAUACACCUAGACUUCUCAAUCUGUAUGCUGACCUAGACUCCCAACACCCUCAGCUAACCUGCUACUACAGAAAGCUGGGGAAGGCCAUGAGGAGUCACGGUCCCUUCCAAGCCUUGAGCUCUGUCCUGAACAGGAAAAGAUGCCCUGUAUGCGUGAGUCCCUUUCCUAUCCAUUGUCCAGCCGUGCCAUGGCGGAUUUGGACAGGAGGCCUGGGGAAGGGGCUUAUUCUUCCAUAAUGGUUCUGGUCCCCUGUGAAGCCCUGGACAGCAGCUCACUUACUGGGACCGCUCCAGCAAGGCAGAUUUCUCAAGUGCAGUAGAUAUUGGGGGGAAGUUGUGGCUGCGACUGAUGAGACACUCACCUGUCCUAUGCUGAGCUACCACAGACAAUUUCCCUUGUAGCUGUAACCACAGGGCAAGAUGUUGGGCUCAUUGUAUCACCUCUUACCUGCUGGGCUGAGCUGUGACCUUGCAGGAUCCCUGACCCCCUGACCUACCAGCUAUGACUCAGUACUUAACUACAACUUAGUAUUUAUUUUAUUUUGUUUGUUUGGUUGGAUUUUCAAAACAGGGUUUCUCUGUUCAACAGCCCUGACUGUCCUGGAAUUCACUCUGUAGACCAGGUUGGCCUCGAACUCAUAGAGAUCUGCUUGCCUCUGACUCCCAAAGUAUUGGGACCAAAAGCAUGCGCCGCCAUGCCUGGCCUUAAGAGUAUUUUAAAACGAUUCAUUUUAUCUUUAAUCUAUGUGCAUGUAUCUCUUUAUCUAUUGCAUGAGGAUGGGUGUCGAUGAAGGCCAGAGAGGGCACUGGAGCCCCUGGGCUGGAAUCCAGGGUGGCUGCACGGAUGGGGUAUGGUUCAGUAGGCGAGGCACUCGCUGCACAGGCAUGAAGACUUGAUCUCCAGCACCACGGGAAGUGACCACACACCUGUGACUCCGGUGCCUGUAGGUCCAGUCCCCGCAGUGGGCCUUACCCCUGGCAGCAAGCCAGGCAAGAGACAGAAGAGAAGAGACAGGACUACCUUCUGAUGGCCCUCCUCCCAGAACACAAAGAGUUGCUAGGAUAGAGGCUGAGCCUUGGUGAAACCAGAUCCAAACUUAUCUGCUUCAAGCUGUGAUGGUUCUUGGGGAGAACUGAGUUCUUGAUGUUGGGAAGGUCUGCUUUCUAGCCUCAAUUCCAAGUGCACUACUCACUUACACUUCCCAAAUAUCUGGCAAAUCAGAGGAUGUCCUUUAUCCCUGAAGGUCACAAGGUGAGGAUCAUGACAGGAAAUAAGGGCAGGAGAGAUGGCUCAGUGGUUAAGAGCACUGACUGCUCUUCCAGAGGUCCUGAGUUCAAUUCCCAGCAACCACAUGGUAGCUCACAACCAUCUGUAACAGGAUCUGAUGCCCUCUUCUGGUGUUUGAACACAGCUACAGUGUACUUAUAUAUAAUAAAUAAAUAAAUUUUUUAAAAAUAAAAAAAUAAAGAUUAAAAAAAAAAAAAGAACGACAGGAAAUAAACAAGAAGAGAGUGAAAGGGGCCAGUCUCCAACCAUGGGACCACAGGAAGUAGAAAGACAAGAGGAGAGAGGAAGCUGGCUGGAGAGAAUGGAGCAGAGUAUAGAUGGAACACAGGGGUUGGGGGGCAUGGGGGUAGGAAGAGACGACAAGAGACUGAAUCCCCGAGAGUGAGCUCAGCACCGGGUAGGGCAGAAGCACACCAGGAACCCAUUAGAGGUGACAGGUAGGUAAGAGCACCCUCCCCUACCCUUUACAGCUUCCUCCAGACUGAGUACGCUUGCUGGUGGUGCAUGCUUUUAGUCCCAUGUACUAGAUCCUAUCCUUCUCUUUAUGGCUGAAAACUGUCUGGUCAGAGCUGUGCCUAGAAGUCUGAUGGGAUUAGAAGGCGUGUUGUGUAGGCCAAGCUCUGCUCACUCCCCUCCUCCCAGUAGUCCUCGGUCUCACCUUCCAGCUCCGUUCCAUCCCUGGCUGUACUCUUAUAGGACAGAAGUCUCCUCCAGGGUGAUUCUGUCCAUUGUAUUUAGUUUUGACAUUUUGAGACAAGGUCUCACUAUGCAGCUCAGGCUGGUCUUGAAUUCUCAGCAUCCUGAGUCUUUGCUAGAUUUAUCUUGGCUGGGUUUGUCUCUAGGUAAUUGAGCAGGGACUUCCUUCCUUCUUUGUGCCUCAACUUCCUAUACCCAUGAAAGAUGGAAACAAGGACCAUUUAUCUCCAGCCCUCCUACCCUGCUUUUGGUUCUGGGGAUUAAGUCUGGGGCAAGGGCUCCGCCAUUGAGCAACAGAUCUAGUGCGGCCUCCAGGUAGCUACAAUUCAAGGACAAACAAGAAAACAAACCAGAUCAUCAACAGUGGGCAUCUUAGGCUUCUCCUUGUUUUGAAUUUCUAAAUUAUGCACGAGUAGCACUCACCAUCUUUGGGGCAGGUAACGAGGUGGGUGGCUACAAGUCUCUCCAGUCCCUGCCUGGACGUCUUGUGUAGCUUUACAUUCUGAGGUGGGCAGAUGAGACAAGGCUGACACCUGCUCCUAAGGAGGGCUCUGCCCCUCCCUACCCACCAAUGGCACUCUGGGCAGCAGCCCCAGCUCCUCUGGGACAGAGCCCAGGCUAAGUUUCCAGCUCUCCUGUUAGGAAAGGUAUCUCCUGGGCGUCUGAAAAGACGGAACCUGAGAUCCCAGGAGUGCCAGGGACAAAGGACCCACACUGCUCAUUGAGGCCUGAUGUAAUUUCUGGCCAGCGAGCGACAGCUGCCUGCUCUGAGCUGGGCAGCGGCCCAAGUGCUCUUGAGUCUCCCUGGCUACCAUCUUUCUAGCUGCCUGUUUUUCCUCUUCCCCCUUGGCUAGAGACUAGGCUCUUUGGUGUGCACGGGUGUCCUUCCUGCUGCUACACAGACACAUGUCUAUGUAAGAAGGGAGUCUGUGACCCUGGGUGGUCUGGCCACUAGAGAGUUACCUGGUCCAAGCCUCAUAGGAAUGGGUAGGAGGACUGGAGCCAGCUCCUAGGACAAUGUCCCCCAGCCCACGACUCUGACCCUUCUAGUAUACUCAUACUAUCCUCCACCCUGGCUACAGACACCUCCACACCCACACUGAUAAAGCAAAGGCGGUUCCUGUGUCCAGCUCACCAAUGCAUAGAGGCACGACUGUCCCCACCUCCACAUCUUUGUUUUCUGAGACAGGGUCUCACUGGCCUGGAACUUGCUGUGUAGAUCUGGUCUGCUAGAAGCUGGUCUGUAACUCAGAGAUCUGCCUAGUCUCUGGCACAGCGAUUUGGGCUCAUGAUGGCUAAUGGCCACUGGCUGUUCUGCUACCCCUGGUCCCCCAACAACAUUCCCUUAUCCUUGAGCCCUGGCACUGGGCUGGGCAGGUAGAACUCAGCAACUAGACCACAGGUAUUGUCUGGCCCGAGAGCAUAGACUAUGACAGCCCUGUUGCAUGGAGAAUCUCUCUUACAGACAGGGAGCCUGCUUCCAAGAAGGGAGAAGCCCAGGCCACACAGGAAAGAGCUGACCAGCCUAUGCUGGUGAGCUUCAGAAAUAACAUGCAGAGGAGAGGACCUCUUCGAUUGUGACAGAUGGCAGCUAGAGACUUGGUACCACUGAGCACUCCUCUCUGGUCCCCUACUCUCUCCUUACAUGGAGGGAUCCUGAGACCCAGGGAUAGGGCAGCAGUUUGCCCAAGGUUACGUCCACAUCAGAGCCAACACACACUAGAAUUCAGCCUCCAGUUCUCAGGUCAGAGAACUGUAAGAUUAAUAUAAAUGAUUUCUUUUAUUCCCACUAGAUUCUACACCCCACCCAUGGACUUGGCUUGCUCAGGUGAUCUCCUUGGGUAAGCAGUUUUUCUAAUAACACCCCCCUCCUUUCCUAAAAACUCAUUAAAGAACACAAAAUUAAUCUUAAAAUGAACUCCAAACAGAAUUAGAGUAACUAUCUACUACAUCUUUAUGGUUUACAAAGCAUUUUCAUAUUACUUUGGGGAGUAAAUAUGCUCAAUCCUCCAAUAGGAUAUAUUAGUUUUCCUAGGGGAACUUAGACUCAACUUGGGAAGGGAGGACAUCUUGCGUGGAGUGAUCAGGCCUCCGCUGGGUCGUGUAGCUAGAGCAGGAGUCCAGGCCUCCCAAUGCCAGUUUAUCCUGCCAAUUCUGCAAGGACCUCAGACCCAGGGAGAGGAGAUGCUCUCCCCAGGAUGCAGCACUCAGCCCCCCUACCCCAGCCCCAGCAGUUGGGAGAGAGGAAUCCCAGAAGGAGCAGGAAGGAAGGGGAGAGCUCCAUCACCUACAGGUCACUCUGCAAAGCACGGUGCAGUCACAGUGGCAGAAGCAGAAGCAGUGAAAGGUCCACUCCCUGCUGACCAUUACCGGCAGAGCUUCUCCGCACAGUCUGCAAGGUGCCUUGCGCAUCCUGGCCACUUACCUCCUCUUCCUCAGCCGCCUGGCUGGUGCAGUGGUAACUGAUAUGCUGUCCUGUGGGCAAGUGGGCUUCACGUUGUCAAUCUUUAAUGAGGCUUCCCAGCUAACCUAUCAGAACCCUCCUGGCUACCUGAUUCCAGCAUGCUUCAUGGGCCCCGAGGGACUGUGCAGACCCCCUGCAGCAGCAGGGCUACCAGGUGUUUAUCUGAAGGGACCUCCCAGCCUAGCUCUCUUCUUACUCUGACAGAAGCAGGGUGAGUGCAGGAAGAGGGGACAGGGGAGUGGGCAGAUGAAUUCCUGGGCACUGUGCCCUGUUGCCACAGCCUCUUCCCCAGCUCUCCUUAGAACUCUGGGUGCCCUGUCACCAUUACAUGUGCCUUUCCUCCUCACUUGCUCCUAUCACUCCUAAAUGCUUUCCUAGCCUUACCAGCUCCAAGGUGUGUGCAGGACUGACGGCUCAGCCUGCCAGCAAGCAUUCCUCUCACACUGCACUGCCACCCUGCUGUCCUGGGUGGCAGGCUGCCCCUGCCCCUGCUCCUGCUGUGUCUGGGUCACCAGGCCUGGCUUUGCAGUUGCUGCAGUUGUCUCUUCAGGGUGGGACAUGAGCGCUGCCUUUCAGAGCAGAGCUGGCUGUGCUGGCUACAGAACACCUUGUCAGCAACCAUGGCCAUAAAGCAGGAAAACCAGCGUCAGACAGGUCCGUGGAAACAGUGACAGGAGGGACCACCAGGCCCUGAGAUGCUGGGCGUGACUCCCUCCUGCCCAGAGCUGCUCCUGCUCCUCAGGGCUGUGCUUAAUAGUUUUAAUUGUCAACCUAGCACAGCCUAGAGUCACUCAGGGAAGUGUUGCAGGGUCCAGAAGAGGAGAAAGCUAGUUGGGAGCAAACACGAAUGCAUUUACUUUCUUUUUACUCUUGAGUAUGGCUCUGACUAGCUGCUUGAGUUCCUGCUUUGUUGUCCCUGAAGGGAUGGUCUGUCAUUCUGUAAGCCAAACAAAUCCUUCUUCCCCAGGUCGCUUCUGGCCAGGGUGCUUUAUCACUCUAUCUAGGAUACAGAAGUUAACACUGUUUACAAGACCUGCCGACUUCUUCACAUGCACUGUGAUUUCUCCUGCUUUUGGUCUCUGCCUCUCUCCUGAAAACCUUAAAUGUACAUUCUCUGGCCUUUCUAGAUCCAGGCCUGUGUGUUUGCACUGGGGGACUUCCCACAGCUUCCUACUGGCCUCUUCCCAGGCUUGCAUCUUCAGGCCUGUCCACAGGCUGGAGGUCAGAAGGCACAGUCCUUCCUCACCAUUCCCUGGACAGGGGCCUAGAGAUUCCCCAGUGGUUCUCACGGGAAACACUGUGCUUGGGAUCUGAGGGCUUCUUAAAUCCCUGACCUAGCUUCUCAUUGCCUCUCUCAUCAUCAACUGUGCUGGCCUUAUUCCCACUUGACACAAACUAGAGUCCUCUGAAAGGAGAGAACCUCAGCUGAGGAAAUGCUUCCGUAAGACCUGGCUGUGAGAGUCAGCUGGGGCUGAAGAGUCAGCUGUAAUCAACAAGAUACCUGAACUACUCAAAUGAAACCUUUGCAUUGCUGGGAUUCCACUGGAGCUGAGAGUUUGCUGGUGUUUAAGAAGAGACCAGCACUGUCCAGAUUGUUACUCUGCUGACCGUGGUGAUCACAGAGACCCACACACUGUCCGGAUCCACAUCCAAACCCCACACACUGUCCGGAUCCACAUCCAAAGCUCCUUUUGCCGGUCACACACAUCAUGGCCACUCACAGGCUCCUUCCCCAGUUCCAAUGCACAGACACCAUCUGCGGCUGGACACUGCCUUUGGAAAUGCCAGCUGAAGCUUUAGGGGAAGGAGGCAAAAUCCCACCACCGAGGCACCUUGCUUCAAGUGCCAUCCCUGCCCUGCUCUCCUGGAAUAACGUUAUUACAAGACGUCUGACGUCUGUGGUGAGUCUUGAGAGGAUGCUGGAUGUGUGUGUGUGGGGGGUGACCCUUAAGGACAUCUCCCUGGCACAAGGCAUCCCAUACAACAGUCAGGUCACAUAACCACAUCAGCACAAGGCAUUACAACCAUUGCAGAUGCAGCAACAGGCUCAAAACAAAUCUGAAGCAAGGCAGCCUGUUUCUUCCCGCCAUGCUCUUCUCCUCUGAUGCCUAUUGUCUCAGGAUGAAAGGAGAAGUAAUGUUCUUUCUAACCCUGUUCAUUUUCCUUGCAAAGUCAAAUCAACGGUUGGGACCCAAUUCUUGCCACACUUCCUCCCCUGAUAAUUGGCUUUCCCCAUUGUGAGAUGACUGAGUGACGAUGGAUGGAAUCACAGACAUGGAACAGGACGGAGUCUGAUCUCACAUGGCUCCUAGGCCAAGCAGUUCUCCAGCCUCAGAACUGAAGCCCUCUCUAUAACCAACACUUUGAAACGUCUCAUAAUACCCUGAAAUGCAGUUCAGGAAUUCUAUAACUGCUCUACAGAGAUGACAGAAAUCUGGGUAGCACUUUAAGUGCCAAAGGGAGGCAGAAAAGUGAUCUAUAAGAAGUGUCCACUGUGGAGUAAAGGGUCAGACACACCUCCCCAGACUCUGAGGAAAUGUGGCUGCCACAGACAGAUCUGUUACAGGGGUCAUCUGGAUGACUAAAAUAUCACAGCUACAACUCUGGGGACAGGGUUUUCCAGAACAGAAAACUACUCUCAGUAAAGUUACAAACAGAAUCAAGCCCAGCUUCCCUCUGAUGUGUGCACAUUGUUAUAUUUCUAGAAAAUUUAGUAUAUUCUAGAACUGUUUAAAACAUUUUUCUUAAGACAGUUAAGUUCUAGCUCAGAAAAUUCAGAUUCUGUUUUCUAGCCUCAUGCUGCAAUGUGCUUAGCAGGUGUGGCUUAUACACAAAAAGUGCCUUUGUUUCCAUGCCUUCUCUGUGGAAUAAUUUUUAUUCCUGCCUUUUCAGAGUCUAGUACACCAAUGGAGAAAAAAAAAAAACAAAAACAAACAAAACAACAAACCCCUGAACCUGCCUCUUGAUUCCAGGACUCUAGAAUUGCUGGGCUCUUCCUACUGACUCAAGUGAAUUAAAGAGCGGCUCCCUGCUGCUGGAGAGGGAAACUGAGCAGGACGGAGUGAGGAAGAGCAAUGGUCAACACCUUUCUCUGCCUUGGGGCUGGGCAAACCAACAGUCCAGGCAAAAGGCAGGGCACUUUCUGGAGGAGGUGUCAGCACCAAGGCAGACGGCUGACUCCAAAGCUCUCCGUGCUCUCCUGCAUGGGGCCUAAAUGAUGGCAUGAGCCGGUCUCCCUGGCCUAUCUGGGUUCCAAUCCUUGGUAGGAUUAGUCUGCAGGGGCUGCAUUGUAGGCAGAGCUCACCAAACCAAGACUUACACUUCCUCAGCCCCUGGAAGCACAGCUACAAAAUCACUGGACUUCAAACCAGAAAACCCAGCCUUGACACAGUACAGAUGAUAACCAUCUGGCUCACUUGAAUGUAAAGCGACCCCACACACACUUGCAUUUGUAGGCAGGGACGCUCACAUUGCUCAAGGCUUCCUUGGCCGGAAUGAAGCAAACCAGAGCUCAAACCAAGCAGAGUGACUCCAAGCCUGUCCAUAGCCACCCACUAUGCUUAAGUAAGAUGUCCUCCCUCAAAGCUGCUGCAGUAAAGCCAUGAGCAGAUUCCUGUUCUGCUCGAGUGCCUUUGCUAGUCCCCGCCCCAAGCCUCAGCAGGACAGAGCUGCCACCUUUCCAGUUUCGUCUGCUGCAGUGCACCUGGACCCAGGCCCCGGAGGCCCCAGACACUUGUGCUUUCUGUCCUUGCCAGUGCAGUGCUGCUGUCUCCCAGCCCAGACGGGCAGCUCCCUGCUUCCUUUUGUUCCCCAAGUACUUGGCACACACUCAUCCCAGCACUCGCUGCAGAACACUAGUGAGUUAGUUAUUAAUCUGUAAACUCUAAAUUCUGAAGCACCGAUCGUUAGGACGCCAUUUACUUAACCACUCUGCCUAGGCAGUCUCUCGCCAGGUAUAUAUAUGUUCUGGGACAUGGAAGUAGGAUGGGCAACAGAAGCACAGUCACUGAGGGCCUCAGGAGCUUCCUUCCCUACACACCGCACUGCACGUUACUCCCUCUUGGCCGCUACUCUGAACCUCAUCAACAGUGAAGGAGCCGGGACAGAACGAGAGAGAGCCUCAGCACCCAGGACAGAUGGCCCUGCUCACCUCCUUCUUGGGAGUUCAUGAUGUUCAGGGCAAAGAGCAUCGCGUUGGAGAAUGUGGUUGCUUCUUCCUUACUCGCAAAGUUUAAGCCAUAGACCUGACGGGCGUCUCGCCACUGAUGGAAGGUGGGUGUUGCCUGAUUGUACUUCAGCCCUUUCACAAUUGAAUAAUUGAUCACAACCUGGAGGAGAAAAGAGAGAAAUACAUGUAAAUAAAUAAAAUGUAAGUGAGCUGCAGUGAACUGCCAUGGGGCAAAGACACCACAUCCUUUUGGCCACAGGGUGGGGGUGGGUGAGUCCCACAGAAGGGAAACGGGGAUCGGACCACUGCAGACCACAAUUGAAUGGUUGCAAAACUUGUCAUUUCAUCUAACUAGUUCUGAGCUGGGGGAUCAGGUAGCCAGGCUGGGUUCUGGUCCAGACCUUGUCUCUUGGCUGUGCCACUUGGGGGAUCAAUGCAGUUUUCCACAGCUGUUUCUCCAGCAAUAAUGUGGAAGAUCUAAUGCUGCCUUACUGACCUUGUGGGGUCCUGAAAGGUCUCCCGAAGCCUGCUUCGUCUCUGUGCUUUAUCCAUAGUUCCUAGAUAUGAAGCCCUAAGGUAACGAACAGUCUUUUGCAAUUUGCUUUCCGUUUCCCACAGCCCUCAGCAGAGUGCUGAGAAUUCAUAACAAGUUCUAGUUUCAAGGAUGACUUGUAGAAAUGUAGUACACAGACAUACAGUCAUUACUGUCUUUGUUAUUAAUCAACCAAUAGAUAGCACACUGUGUCAGAUGCAAUGUCAAGCCAGGCAGGGAAUGAGAAGGCAGACACUCAACAGCAAGUCUGCUGGCCUCUAGAUCUUUACUCUUCUCGACACUAAAAGAGAAUGGCUUUAGGCUAGUAAGUGCUGCUCCCUGAAGUCAAUGGCAGUAAUGACACUCUGGGCUGUAGCUGUCACUUUGUUGGGUGACCCUCCAACUAUGAGUCUUCUUGCCCUUGGAGCAGGAAGAGUAUGGUAAUGGCUUGUUGCUCUCCUUAAGUGCUCAGACUGCUGCACUGCUGAAUCAGGAAAGGUCAGAACAGCAUCAUCCUAGGUCCCUAUCCUGCGCAAGAUGGACGUGGGUCGCCCUAUAGCAGACUGAAGCGAGAUGAGCCAUUGAACGCACAUGCACUAAGUCAGGAGGAGAGAUGAAUCAUUUCACAGUUUGAUUGCCACACAGCAACAGGUAGGGACUUUGGCUAAUAUCUAAUACAGGUUUCUGAGUAGGAGCACAUUUACCUGUGUAUGCUGCUAAGCAGAAGACCCAAGCUGGCGGUUGACUGGUUUAGUUUUUAGGCCACCGAGAAAGGGCUUGAGCUUUUGUGAAGUGUAUGUAUGAGAUGGACUGCCAAGUAAGCCAGGAUAAAAUGGCUCUUUAAGACUGGAGUCAUAUACAGAACCAGAGAGCUAAGUCCCUGCUUCAUUUUAUCCCAGUCAACACGCAGCAGGAGUUCUGUGUUCAAUCUUUAGUUUUGAUGGACACCAAGAAACCAGAGCAAAAAAAAAAAAGAAGAAACAGGGCAAUGCUAGGCAUGGUGGCACACACCUUCAAUCCCAGCACUGGGAUUUCUGAAUUUGACGCCAGGUUGGUCUACAAAGCAAGUCCAGGAGAGCUAGGGCUAUUACACAAAGAAACUGUGUCUCAAAAAACAAAUGCAGAAAAGAAAUGGGAGCAAGUGAAAGGGAAAGCUGUGAGAGAGGCCUGACGUGAGGCUGCUGAGAUCGAGACUCCCUGGAGACAUGCUCAGAGGAAGUGAGACUUCACAGUCUGUGAGGUGAGAUGCUCCCAGAGGGGACUUAACAUGCAAGAAUCCAGAGGGACAGAAUACGCAUCCCAGGCACAGAAAUAGCCUGAACAGCAGAAUCACUGUGAAGAACUCUGGGAUCUUAGGAACUCUUUUUAUGGUUGGGAAAUUGGGGGCCAGGAAAAACAAGAGACAAAGUUACACAGUAAACUAAUGGGAGAGCUGGAGUUAGAGGCUGAGUCUGCAGAGAGGAUUACGUGCUUCUGCUCACUGCCAGCAAAGUGAGCUGACAGUGUUCUCUAGUUUCCCUUGGCCUGGCUCUGUCUGCACGGCGCCUUGUUGGAGGAAGUGUGUCACCAGAGGUGGGCUUGAGGUUUCAGAAGCUCGUCAGCCCAGUGUCACUUUUCUGCUGCUUGCCAAUCUAAAUGUAGAACCCUUGUUUUUUCAGCAUGUCUGCCUAUGUGUCACCAUGAUGAUAAUGGAUUAAACCUCUGAAACUGUAAGCCGGUCCCAAUUAAACAUACACAUUUUCCUCAUCAAGAGUUACUGUGGUCACGGUGUCUGUUCACAAUAGAAACCUCACUAAGACACUUAUAAUACUCUACAGCUGUUGGCUGCAGUUUCCGUAACAAACCAGGUCAGGCUGGUUAAUGAUGCUAACAGGGAUCGCUGUUUUCACUCAUCUCUGUCUGCUUGUUCAGGAUGCUACUUGAGGCAUAGUCAGCAUCUGUGAGUAGGCUUUGAAAUUCAUCUAUUUCCUGAAAUCUCUAGAUUGGUCCAUUUCUGCCUUAUAUAUUUGGAACAUACAUUAUUAGAUACAUUCAAAUUUGGGGCUGCUGUGACUUCUUUUGGUGAAGCCUCUUCUUAAAAAGGUCAGUCUCUUCUCCUUUGGAAUACUUGCUGUCUGUCAUGUCUAACAUACAUACCAGCUUUUCUAGUUAGGUUUAUUUUAAAGAUAAUUCUUUAGUAUUCAGCAGGACUGAUCUAGGUACUUCCAAAGGAUAAGCUUAUUUUAAAUGUUGCACUUUCCACAUAGGAGCUGUGAUCACACCGCUGACUUAUUUUGGAGAGUGUGGGAGUACAUGGGAGUGCCUCUCCUAAGUCUGUUGUUGUUGUUGUUACUGGUUACUUGUUUCUAAAGCCCUUGAAACACCAAAUAUGUCUAACACGGUUUUGAGGAUUCUGAGUAAAAGUAAUCUAAAGGUCUUUUACAUAGAAAAAAGCUUACAGUAGAGAACGAACUUCUUGGUCCCUAUGCUAUUGGCUAGGAUCUGAAAAACUAUGUAAGUUAGUAAAGACUCUGAAACCCAAAUAAGUCUCCAUCUAAUGACAGAAUAAUCUUCUCAGAGUCUUAUCUAAACCCAAGCUUACCUCAUGGGCUCGCAGGGAAACACACAGUAUGCUGUGGUUUGUCUGUUUUCAUUACUAUAGCGAGGGACAAAGCAGGCUGAUUUUAUAAAGAGAUCUAUUUACCUCACAGCGCUGGAGGUCAGGAGUGACCAAAGGGUGUGAUGGGCAUGGAAAACUUGCCACGAGAGAAGCUAUCGGUGAAGGCUGCAGCUGUGGCUCAGUGCUAGCGCACCUGCCUAGCACGCAUCAGCCUUUGCUUAGCAUGCAGGGGUGCUGAGACCGCCUCAGUUUCAGAUUUUAAAACAAUCAACCACUUAGGAUACCCACUAUGAUUUAGAAACAGUGCCUUCAUGUCAAAGGAUACACCCUAGAAAGAAACUGUCACCAAGGGGAAGGAGGGCCUCUAAAGGCCACAGGAGUUCAGGGCUAGGCAGACACCUGUCCAGUGGGCAGUACCUCCAGCAGAACUCCAAGUCUUUUGUUACAUGGUUAACCUGCUGCCACAGGCUUCAGAGACACCAGGAAGCCAGGUACUCUCUUAGCCAGCCUGAGCACAAGCUGUCAGAAAACACGGCUUAAGGAGAGGCGGUAUAUACAAAGCGUUAGUGCUGUUGUUGCUUUAUGUAUGGGUGUUUUGCCUGUACGUAUGUCUAAACACCAUGCAGUCUGUGAGUGCCAUAUGAGUCUGAAGAAACCAGAAGGCAGAGGUUGAGGCCAAGUGGCUUCCUCAAUUGUGCACAGCUUGUGUGCUUUAUCUACAGAGCCGUCUCCCUAGUCCACACCAACCAUUCUUUUCAAGCCUUCUCACAGUUAUUAUUCUGAUCUGACAGAAUACUUUAUCUUACUUUAUAUUUUAUUAGCUAUUGAAUUCUGAUGUGACGCAGUGGAGUGGAAAGGUGUGUCUUACUGUUUGCAUAUGACAGAGGAAAUGAUUCUGAGAAAAGAUAGUUAGCUUUCGGUCUCAUACUUUGGCCUAAGGCUGUAGAGUCAGAUCUGAACCUGUGCAUGCACUGGUAGGCCUGCGCUCAAGGGCGGAUGCUGACUGCAAACGUUACCUGCUGAUCCUGUAGCUUGACCCCUACAACCCUGAAAGUGUUGCUGGCAGUGUUGUGGUAGAUGUUGAUCCGGCUGAAUCCCUGCUGGCCAGGCUUGAUUGGUACCCAUUUCUUACUGGUGUCAUCGUAGACCAUCACGGAGGCCCGUGCUUGGCAGAUACUCUGUUCGCUGCAGAAAGAGCAAGAAAAUACCGUGUCACACUUGGCCAAGGUGGACAGAUCUUGGCCCUAUCCUGGAACAAAGGUCAAAGGCAACACGAACUUGCUGCCAGAGCUUCCACCUGUCCACAGUAGUGCUGCUCUGUGAAGUGAUGAGUUUGCCCCCAAAAAGACCAAGCAGAGUGAAUGAGGAUCUGCCCAAACCCAAGCUUGGGAGGCUCAUCGCCUUCCUUUGCAGGAGGUGUGCUUGAAGGAAAAGGAAUUACGAGUUGACUCUUAGAAACCCUGCGUUACAUAAUACAAUAUACCUACGCACUGCUGCCUCACACAUGGCUUUAAGUAGCCACUAAUUACCCACAUUUGAUGAGGAAAUUGUGGCUGAGACUCUGGGGGGAGUCACCUGAGUUUACAAGGUACCCAGGGGUGGGAUCUCAGACUUUGAGCCACUUCUACCUCCACACCAUACCACACAGAGGCUUUCUUUGCAGCAUCCAACUAAAUGUUCACUUUGUAUCCAGUGCCAAGGCAGGACAGCAUGGGAAAUGCCAGGUAGACAAUGAGGAGGUGAGGUGACCUAGAGAACUGAGCAAUGGUUGCUCGCACACUGGUUCUAGGCACAGACACCAGGCAAAGCAAGGUCACAUGUUUAGAAUAUGUCAGAAAACCAAGGACUCAGCAGGAGCCUCCCUCUGCAGAGGUCAAUGUCACCACUAAAGGCAUGCACCACACUGGCCAGCUAUUUCAUUUUCAGAGCCCAGAAUCUUGAAUUCAGUCUUGGUGUAAGGAUUCCCAAACAGAAAAGGUAAGGCGAGGCUGGCAACAGCAGAGUGACAGUGCUUAGAAAGGAGGCCACACUGGACCAGAGUGGACCACAUGGUGGACGAAGACAAAGUCUCACCCAUGUAGAGAAACAGUGAAGAAGCAAAGUGACAGUGUUGAGUAAUGAGAGCCAGCAGACUAAGCAAGCAAGGAAUGUCACACUGUGGUUAUUUAUCAUAAGGAUGUCACACUGUGGUCAUUUAUUAUAAGGAUGUCACACUGUGGUCAUUUAUUAUAAGGAGGGCAGGGAACCAAAAUAUUUGGAAACAGCCUUUAAAGGGUUAGUCAGUCCUCUUGGAAAGGAAUGUGGCCAAUUCAUCUUGCAGAUUGAGGGCUGAGCUCAGGACCUCCUCUGUGGCUCAGAUCUUGUGGUCCACAGAUGCCGGUGGGCCAAAGGACAGAUGGAUGGGAUAGGGCAGUGGCUGCUGCAGGGAGCUUACAGACAGGAGUCAGACAACGGACCACACACACCUCACCUGGCCAGGAGAACUCUGGGGAAUGGGGAUCUUAGCAGGAAAAUGAUUUGGGAUUAAAGAUGAUGGUCUUCAAUUCCUAGACAAAGCAGAUGCAGGAGGUAGGGAGAGGAGACAGGCAGCCCAGACAGGAGCAGAGACAAGAACCACACAGUAUGCGGAGAGCUGCAGGCCACCCAAAGUAGGGGCAAUGUGUCUGGGGUAGCACAUGUUAUUCAGAGGUUGUAAGAAGGGGGAUAAAAGAAAUACAUUUUAGGUAUUGUAAUGAUAGCCCCCUCCCCCACUGUUGUUUUUAACACUGUGGGUUCAAAUUAACCUGUGGUUAACCAAAACCCUGUUUUCUUUCCCAUUUGAACAGGUUUUUGUUUUUUGUUUUUUGUUUGUUCUUUCACUGCUGUGACUAGUGAGCCUGAGUGGAAGAAGACAUUUCCUUUUACCAUCUAUAUUGCCAGUGCGGGAGGAGGAGUGAGACCUUGACUAGGUAGCUGGUACCACUGCUGCGAUCUAGCUGUUCAGCUACCCUGCUCAGGCCCAAUAUGGUGGCUUUACAGUUUCUGUCAGGCAAAACAGCCAAGCCAUUCUGGUUUGAAGGUUUGUUUCAUCUUGUCAUCAAGCCCAUGUGACUCAGGGGCUUCCCAGGAGGUAGGACAUUUCCUAUGGAAACUGGAACAAUCGAGACACACCAGCGUGAGGUGUCACCCUAAUGGCAGCUUGUGCUUUAGAAAUGUGACCUUUCACUCAGAGGACACACCUGAUACACACUGGUGGGCGGGUCCUCACUCCCAGUUGUUCCCCUCCAGCUCCUUUCUUCCAGGGGGCUGAUGGCCUACUCUCCCUCUCCACCUAGGCCACUACUCUCAGCUCCCAGCAGAGCUGGCUUCUGUUCCCGAGGCUGCAUGGAACACCCCCAGUCCCCAGAAUCACUCAGCUACACCUGAAGACUCGAAUGCUGCUGUCUUGCUUUGAAACCUGCCCUGACUGACUCCUGGUCCUUUGUGACCGACAGUUCUGGCGAUUCUGUUUUUAAGCCUCCUACAUAGUUUUGAGUGGACUACAUUUCUCUUUUAUCAGGUUAUUAGCUGGGGCCAAGGGAAUGCUUGAAGUGUCUAGGAGCCUCUGCAAUCAUUUGUAAAGGGAACUGUGUGAACUAUGCCUUGGCUGUGCCCUCAAAUGUCCCUUUUCAAGCUGAUUUUAAAGCUUACCUUAAAUCUUAUUGUUUCUGGCUCCUUCUCUCACUCCAAACACAUAGCUCUCGAGACUGUCUGCAUUGUAAGAACUAGCAAGGUACUUAUCACAAAACAAGUCCCCAGAUGAUCUUAUGUGGAUCUCCUUGGUGAGAAUUUCAGGUGGGCCUUCACCUCUACAUGAUUAUAGAUUCUGGUGCCAACAGUCCUAGAAGGGCUCUCCUCAUGGUUCUCACCAUGGCCAAGGUUCACGGUGAUUACUGGUAUGUCCAGAGACCCCGGGUAAUGAAGUUCUCAUCCUGACACUAUAUUUCAGACUACUGGCUACACUUCAGGUAUGUCAAAAUCAACAGGCUCAAACAAAACCUUUACAAUGUUUCCUACAAUAGGAAGUGCCAGCCAUCCCUCCUCCAGGCUGUGCUUGAUUUGUGAGUCGUUUCAGAUGCUCGUCUCUUCAAGACCUGCCCUCUGUGGCCACUAGGCCAGCUGUUCUAUUUCUUAAACAUAUUGUAGGUCUCCUGCUCUCCGCCCUCCUGGCUUGCUGGUGUUUGAAGCCAUCAUCAUCUACACCUCAUCUACAACAUCGUAAUAGCUUCCUGGCUACUUUCCUAUCUCUGGGUUCCAGUCUCUGGAGUCUCAAUGUACCUCUGAUGAGGUCAGAGGAAGAACUUCCAAGGCAGGUGGGCCUGCCUCUUCAAGCCUCACUGGGACCUGACUACUCCACAGAGGCUUUUAUGACCUCAGACAAAGUGCUUGUCUGUGGCUUGAUCUUAACUGUUGCUCUCCUUCCUUUCCUCACUUCCCUGGUGCUUUACCUGGGGGAUUAAGAUGUAUGCCUUGUCAGCAUGGAAGGCACGGCCUGGGCUCCUGGGAGACCCUCAGAACUCUUCAAUUCCAUCCUCCAAACAAGUCCUCAGCUGGGUCCCUCCCCGAUGUAGUCUGGUGGAAAUAUGGCUCCUAACAGCUGCCACAGCAGCACCCACCCACGUGUUUAUACUGCUCCUGCACCUGUGGCAUCCCACCCAAGAGGAAGGGCAAAGGAAGAGCCUGUCACCACAGCAGAACCAGAAGAAAGCUCUAGUCCCGUUCUGCGACUAGCCUGCAGGACAUGGCCAGGUUCUGGCCCUGCGUAGGUUUGUUUCCUCACCUGCCAUCAAUUUCUAGCUUACUGAACAUGGCGUUAAUUAAAUAGCAUUUUAACCUACA
This is a long non-coding RNA of Rattus norvegicus (Norway rat), 20372 nucleotides long. RefSeq lists it as uncharacterized. Lineage: Eukaryota; Metazoa; Chordata; Mammalia; Rodentia; Muridae. The record is from RefSeq and is a predicted model, not a curated record.